RNAcentral lists this ribosomal RNA (461 nucleotides) under uncultured bacterium. RNAcentral describes it as "partial 16S ribosomal RNA". It matches the Rfam family "Bacterial small subunit ribosomal RNA", at positions 28 to 507 of the family's 1533-position model. The record is from RNAcentral.
GAUAAACGCUGGCGGCGUGCUUAACACAUGCAAGUCGAACGAAGUUUUUCUUUCGGGAGGAACUAGUGGUGGACGGGUGAGUAACGCGUGGGUAACCUGCCCUGUACAGGGGGACAACAGCUGGAAACGGCUGCUAAUACCGCAUAAGCCCUUAGCACUGCAUGGUGCAUAGGGAAAAGGAGCAAUCCGGUACAGGAUGGACCCGCGUCUGAUUAGCCAGUUGGCAGGGUAACGGCCUACCAAAGCGACGAUCAGUAGCCGAUCUGAGAGGAUGUACGGCCACAUUGGGACUGAGACACGGCCCAGACUCCUACGGGAGGCAGCAGUGGGGAAUAUUGCACAAUGGAGGAAACUCUGAUGCAGCGACGCCGCGUGAGUGAAGAAGUAUUUCGGUAUGUAAAGCUCUAUCAGCAGGAAAGAAAAUGACGGUACCUGACUAAGAAGCACCGGCUAAAUACGUG